ACCGUACUCCUACGGGAGGCAGCAGUGGGGAAUUUUGGACAAUGGGGGCAACCCUGAUCCAGCAAUGCCGCGUGAGUGAAGAAGGCCUCCGGGUUGUAAAGCUCUUUUGUCAGGGAAGAAACGGUCGUAGCUAAUAUUUAUUACUAAUGACGGUACCUGAAGGAUAAGCACCGGCUAACUACGUGCCAGCAGCCGCGGUAAUACGUAGGGUGCAAGCGUUAAUCGGAAUUACUGGGCGUAAAGCGUGCGCAGGCGGUUGUGUAAGUCAGAUGUGAAAUCCCCGGGCUCAACCCGGGAAUUGCAUUUGAGCCUGCACGGCUAGAGUGUGUCAGAGGGGGGUAGAAUUCCACGUGUAGCAGUGAAAUGCGUAGAUAUGUGGAGGAAUACCGAUGGCGAAGGCAGCCCCCUGGGAUAACACUGACGCUCAUGCACGAAAGCGUGGGGAGCAAACAGGAUUAGAUACCCUAGUAGUCCUUGAC
Molecule: ribosomal RNA, 479 nt
Filed under: uncultured bacterium
Lineage: Bacteria
Description: bacterial SSU rRNA
Rfam family: Bacterial small subunit ribosomal RNA
Source: RNAcentral